Molecule: ribosomal RNA, 253 nt
Filed under: uncultured bacterium
Lineage: Bacteria
Description: partial 16S ribosomal RNA
Rfam family: Bacterial small subunit ribosomal RNA
Source: RNAcentral
UACGAAGGGGGCUAGCGUUGCUCGGAAUCACUGGGCGUAAAGGGUGCGUAGGCGGGUCUUUAAGUCAGGGGGGAAAUCCUGGAGCUCAACUCCAGAACUGCCUUUGAUACUGAGGAUCUUGAGUUCGGGAGAGGUGAGUGGAACUGCGAGUGUAGAGGUGAAAUUCGUAGAUAUUCGCAAGAACACCAGUGGCGAAGGCGGCUCACUGGCCCGGUACUGACGCUGAGGCACGAAGGUCAGGGGAGCAAACGGG